CCGUAUAGCCCUGAAGAUUCAAGUCCUCUUUAUCCAUAGAAGCAGGUGCAGCAUGGGCAGCUGCAGUGAAACUGUCUCCCCACUGCACCUGCCUUACUCCUCGUCUGGAGAGAACACCUCCAGAAAUGAGAGGGAAGAUCAGUCUCUAUGCCCUUUCGUUCUCUGGCCUCU
Molecule: small RNA, 171 nt
Filed under: Gopherus agassizii (Agassiz's desert tortoise)
Lineage: Eukaryota; Metazoa; Chordata; Testudines; Testudinidae
Description: TUC338 (ENSGAGG00000006100.1)
Source: RNAcentral